AGCAGCCGCGGUAAUUCCAGCUCCAAUAGCGUAUAUUAAAGUUGUUGCAGUUAAAAAGCUCGUAGUUGAAUUUCGGGGUUAGUAGGUUGGUCAUGCCUCUGGUAUGUACUGGUCUCACUGAUUCCUCCUUCCUGAUGAACCGUAAUGCCAUUAAUUUGGUGUUGCGGGGAAUUUGGACUGUUACUUUGAAAAAAUUAGAGUGUUUAAAGCAAGCUAACGCUUGAAUACAUUAGCAUGGAAUAAUGAAAUAGGACGUUCGAUCCUAUUUUGUUGGUUUCUAGGAUUGACGUAAUGAUUAAUAGGGAUAGUUGGGGGCAUUAGUAUUCAAUUGUCAGAGGUGAAAUUCUUGGAUUUAUUGAAGACUAACUACUGCGAAAGCAUUUGCCAAGGAUGUUUUCAUUAAUCAAGAACGAAAGUUAGGGGAUCGAAGACGAUCAGAUACCGUCGUAGUCUUAACCAUAAACUAUGCCGACUAGGGAUCGGAUGAUGUUAAUUUUUAAUGACUCAUUCGGCGCCUUAA
Molecule: ribosomal RNA, 520 nt
Filed under: uncultured Glomus
Lineage: Eukaryota; Fungi; Glomeromycota; Glomeromycetes; Glomerales; Glomeraceae
Description: SSU rRNA
Rfam family: Eukaryotic small subunit ribosomal RNA
Source: RNAcentral